Molecule: long non-coding RNA, 506 nt
Filed under: Mytilus galloprovincialis (Mediterranean mussel)
Lineage: Eukaryota; Metazoa; Mollusca; Bivalvia; Mytilida; Mytilidae
Source: RNAcentral
GCCCUAAAAUUUUCAGAUGAAUCGGUCAAUCGGUUGUUGAGUUGCUGCCCCUGAAUUGGUAAUUUUGAGGAAAUUUUGCUGUUUUUGGUUAUUAUCUUGAAUAUUAUUAUAGAUAGAGAUAAACUGUAAACAGCAAUAAUGUUCAGUAAAGUAAGAUCUACAAAUAAGUCAACAUGACCAAAAUGGUCAGUUGACCCGUUUAGGAGUUAUUGCCCUUUAUAGUCAAUUUUUAACCAUUUUUCGUUAAUUAAAGUAAUCUUUUAGAAAAAUCUUCUCCUCUGAAACUACUGGGCCAAAUUAAUCCAAACUUGGCCACAAUCAUCUUUGGGGUAUCUAGUUUAAAAAAUGUGUGGCGUGACCUGGUCAACCAACCAAGAUGGCCACCACGGCUAAAAAUAGAACAAAGGGGUAAAAUGCAGUUUUUGGCUUAUAACUAUGAAACCAAAGCAUCUAGAGCAAAUCUGACAAGAAGUUAAAUUGUUAAUCAAGUCAAUAUCUAUCUGCCC